CUCCUGGGGGUUGACAAGGGGAUAAGGAGCAUAUUUGAUACACUUCUUGUUUUGCUAAAAUUCUUUUGCUGCAGCAGCUAGAAAUGUAAAAGUCUCAAAAUUGUGAACGAGGAUUAACUACUAUUCUGAAAUUGAUCUCUCUUGCUAUGUAAUAACAGCUCCGGAAACCAACACGUGAAGAUCCUCACCAGCGGGACCCUAAGCUGCCAAAUUCCCAGAGAGAAAUUAAGUCAUUGUGAGGCUCACUGCUGAGAGAGUGUCAGCCACGAGCAAUAGAUCACUAGUGUUACUAAUAGGCUCCUCACCAACACAGCUGCCUGGAAUUGGCAAGUCGAGCUCUUCUGGGAUCAGCCAAAGAGGACACCUGGGCUCCUCCCCAUGUAGGUGGUUUUGUGGCCCUACUUGCAUCCAAACAGCCCUUAAUACACACAAAAUUGUCGGAGUGUUUUUUGCUUUUUCCAGAUAAAGGGAAUUGGAGGGUAACCUGUGGUUCUAAACAUGCAGUUAAGAAAGAAUGGUAGAAUGGUUUUACUUGCCGGAAUUAAGGUGGUGAAGUUCUGUUAGAAGUAAGGUUACUGCCCAGUCGCACAGGGUGAGAACUGCAGAUGGCUCACCCAGAGAACCAACCAUUAACGUUCUGGUAUUGCCCUGGUCUACGCGCUGCAGUCUGAUUUUCCUAGGAAAGUUCUUGCAUUUUGGCUAUAGUUUCAAGUAACCUAAAACUGGCUUCAUUUAAGGUGUUAGCUAGCUGCCAAGCCUUAGCCAUUUUUUCCAUGCUUGCUUGCUUCCCUUAUCACCCUGAGGGGAUGCCAUUUUUAACACCUUGUGGUGUUAACCUUUUGAUGAAGAGGCCCCUAUCUCCUGUGAUGAGAACCUUCCAGGAAGUGAGACAGACUCUGAUGCUUAUUAUAAGGCAGGAGCCUACUCUGCCUCCAGAGUAUACCCAGAUGCCUCUCUAAAUGUGUUCCAUGAAUACUUAGUUAAGGCAGACAUGUGAUGACUAAAAUUCAUGAUACUGGGAAUUUGGAGAGGAGAUGGAAAUAACAUGGAAGUAUUGACAGUUUGAGGUAGAGCACUUAGAAAGUUUCAUAUGUUGGCUGAGUGGUUAUUACACAAGCGUGUGCCUUUGUUCCAUGUUUACUUGAUUCGGCCAGAAAGCACAUUUCCCAAAAGCAAAUCCAAUACAACUUUGCGCAUAAUUCUCACUGUCUUAAGUAGGAGCUGGGAUGGAUGCAUUAACCCUUCAAACAAUUGCUGCCUAUUCCAUACCUAAGUGGCUUUGGCUUGGAGAUGGCAAUAUUUCUGCUCCUCAUGUCCUGUGUCUCUCUCUGCCCCCAACUUUGUUUCCUCUAGGAUGGUUUCUUUGCUGUUUAGUAGGUACUGUUUCGUGUUCUUUUAUUUCUCAAUAAGAGGGCUCUGGUUAGUGGCUGCUAUGUGGCUUCUGGAAAAUAUACAACUCUUGGAGCUCUAUUAAGCAUCCUCCUUUUUGUCUGUUCCUUUCGUGUGUGCUUUACCUUUCAUCAUUUGAGGGACUGGAUCAAAAUAUUAGUUGGGAUUCUAGAGUUAGGAACUGUUGUACCCAUCACCCUUUAUAGGUCAGGAAACUGAGCAAUCAAAAGUUAAGUUUCUUUUCUGUGUUACAAAGCCAGUAGGCAGGAGCCCCCUAAUCUGAAGCCACAGUCACUUUACUACAAUGGGUGCCUCUGGGUGAUGCAUGUCACCGAGUACGGAUGUCUCCAUUUAUCCCUGAGUGAAAUUCAGUCACCUCUGUGUUUACACUCUCAGUUUACACUAAGACUCUGUGUUUAUACCUCUUGUGUUUACAACUGAGACACACGGGACAGCGCAACUUGAGAAUUAACAUCAUAGAAGGUGUCAACUGAAGAAUGAGAAAGUUCAUGAAUUUGGAAAGGAGAGCUUUAUUUUUCAUAAAGCGUGGCCACUGGCAGGGUAGCCAUUGCUACAGUCUGGAAAGUGUAGCCUCCAGCCAGAAACCAGAAACACACUUCCAGGUUGGGAAAAAUAAGACAGGAAUUUAUGCUGAGUGGAGUGGCCAAAUACACAGUAAACUAUAGGAGGAGUCAUGAAUAUUUAUGAAAGAUGUACAUGUGCAAUUAAGCUUCAUGACUCUUGAUGGGUUACAUGUACAAAAAAAUGGUAUUAGCAUGAUUCUGGGGUGGAGUUUUUGGCCCUCUUGGGUCAAAAGGUGAAGCAGAGGACACAACUCUCAUGGUACAUCUUCUAUAGACUAGCCAGAGCCACUCCAUGGUCCAUUGUCUCUUAGGAAGGAAUGCUGGUUGCUUGGUUUGUUGAAACCUUAAAAGGAAGGGGCAGCAUCAAGUGGUUGGUUCAUAUCAAUAGUAGAGGCCAGGUGCAGUGGCUCACACCUGCAGUCCCAGCACUGUGAGGAUUCCUUGAGUUUGAGGAGUUCAAGACCAGCUUGGGCAACAGAGCAACACCUCAUCUCUACCCAGAACAAAAAAACCACCAGUGCAAUGGUACGUGGCUGUAAUCCCAGCUACUCUGGAGGCUGAGGUAAGAGGACUGCUUGAGCCCAGGAGGUCAAGGCUGUGGUGAGCUAUGAUUGUGCCACUAUACUUCAGCCUGGGGGAUACAGUGAGACCCUCAAAGAUAGCAGGGGUGGAGCAAGUCUUUCCCAAAGGGCUGGUUUCUGUUUAACCCUUAAGAAAGAAGGCUGGGUACUGUGGCUCAUGCCUGUGACCCCAGCACUUUGGGAGGGUGAGAUGGACAGAUUGCUUGAGCCCAGGAGCUCAAGACCAGCCUGGGCAACACAAGGAAACCUCAUCUCUACCAAAAA
Molecule: long non-coding RNA, 2818 nt
Filed under: Homo sapiens (human)
Lineage: Eukaryota; Metazoa; Chordata; Mammalia; Primates; Hominidae
Description: HSALNT0360070
Source: RNAcentral